This 223-nucleotide long non-coding RNA is filed under the name Rhinopithecus bieti (black snub-nosed monkey). Its description in RNAcentral is "lncRNA (ENSRBIG00000045947.1)". The record is from RNAcentral. Lineage: Eukaryota; Metazoa; Chordata; Mammalia; Primates; Cercopithecidae.
CUUGUUUUAAUAAACAAUGUCUCUUUCUAGGAAGGUGUUUUGCUUCAGAGGGUCUGCUAGCUGAAGUGCCACUGUGCUCCUCUGAGCACAGAACAUGGAUGUCUUUGGUCUCUGGUAGGAGGAGUGAUGGGCCGCACUUACAGAUCCCAGGCACAGAGCAACAUUUUGCAGAACAUAAACAAUAAGCCAGCUUAUAAUGUGGGAAUACACUGAUACAGCACGU